GCGGCGUGCCUAAUACAUGCAAGCCGAGCGAACAGACGAGGAGCUUGCUUCUCUGGAUGAGUUGCGAACGGGUGAGUAACGCGUAGGUAACCUGCCUGGUAGCGGGGGAUAACUAUUGGAAACGAUAGCUAAUACCACAUAAGAGUAGAUGUUGCAUGACAUUUGCUUAAAAGGUGCAAAUGCAUCACUACCAGAUGGACCUGCGUUGUAUUAGCUAGUUGGUGGGGUAACGGCUCACCAAGGCGACGAUACAUAGCCGACCUGAGGGGGUGAUCGGCCACACUGGGACUGAGACACGGCCCAGACUCCUACGGGAGGCAGCAGUAGGGAAUCUUCGGCAAUGGACGGAAGUCUGACCGAGCAACGCCGCGUGAGUGAAGAAGGUUUUCGGAUCGUAAAGCUCUGUUGUAAGAGAAGAACGAGUGUGAGAGUGGAAAGUUCACACUGUGACGGUACCUUACCAGAAAGGGACGGCUAACUACGUGCCAGCAGCCGCGGUAAUACGUAGGUCCCGAGCGUUGUCCGGAUUUAUUGGGCGUAAAGCGAGCGCAGGCGGUUAGAUAAGUCUGAAGUUAAAGGCUGUGGCUUAACCAUAGUAGGCUUUGGAAACUGUUUAACUUGAGUGCAAGAGGGGAGAGUGGAAUUCCAUGUGUAGCGGUGAAAUGCGUAGAUAUAUGGAGGAACACCGGUGGCGAAAGCGGCUCUCUGGCUUGUAACUGACGCUGAGGCUCGAAAGCGUGGGGAGCA
RNAcentral lists this ribosomal RNA (747 nucleotides) under uncultured Streptococcaceae bacterium. RNAcentral's name for it is "bacterial SSU rRNA". It matches the Rfam family "Bacterial small subunit ribosomal RNA", at positions 39 to 770 of the family's 1533-position model. The record is from RNAcentral. Lineage: Bacteria; Bacillati; Bacillota; Bacilli; Lactobacillales; Streptococcaceae.